This 547-nucleotide ribosomal RNA is filed under the name uncultured bacterium. RNAcentral's name for it is "bacterial SSU rRNA". It matches the Rfam family "Bacterial small subunit ribosomal RNA", at positions 355 to 896 of the family's 1533-position model. The record is from RNAcentral.
UGGGGAAUAUUGCGCAAUGGGGGGAACCCUGACGCAGCCAUGCCGCGUGAAUGAAGAAGGCCUUAGGGUUGUAAAGUUCUUUCGGUAUUGAGGAAGGUUGAUGUGUUAAUAGCACAUCAAAUUGACGUUAAAUACAGAAGCAGCACCGGCUAACUCCGUGCCAGCAGCCGCGGUAAUACGGAGGGUGCGAGCGUUAAUCGGAAUAACUGGGCGUAAAGGGCACGCAGGCGGUUAUUUAAGUGAGGUGUGAAAGCCCCGGGCUUAACCUGGGAAUUGCAUUUCAGACUGGGUAACUAGAGUACUUUAGGGAGGGGUAGAAUUCCACGUGUAGCGGUGAAAUGCGUAGAGAUGUGGAGGAAUACCGAAGGCGAAGGCAGCCCCUUGGGAAUGUACUGACGCUCAUGUGCGAAAGCGUGGGGAGCAAACAGGAUUAGAUACCCUGGUAGUCCACGCUGUAAACGCUGUCGAUUUGGGGGUUGGGGUUUAACUCUGGCGCCCGUAGCUAACGUGAUAAAUCGACCGCCUGGGGAGUACGGCCGCGAGGUUA